GGCUCAGGAUGAACGCUGGCGGCGUGCCUAAUACAUGCAAGUCGAACGAGAGUGCUUGCACUCUAGUGGCGAACGGGUGAGUAACACGUAGGUAACCUGCCUUACAGUUUGGGAUACCCUGGCGAAAGCUAGGCUAAUACCGAAUAAUUGGAUUGGAGGCAUCUCCGAUCUCUAAAAGGGGCCUUUAAAGCCUCGCUGAAUGAUGGACCUGCGGCGCAUUAGCUAGUUGGUGAGAUAACAGCCCACCAAGGCGAGGAUGCGUAGCCGACCUGAGAGGGUGAACGGCCACACUGGAACUGAGACACGGUCCAGACUCCUACGGGAGGCAGCAGUAGGGAGUUUUCGGCAAUGGGGGCAACCCUGACCGAGCAACGCCGCGUGAAUGAUGAAGGUUCCUUCGGAUUGUAAAGUUCUGUUAUAAGGGAAAAAUGAUAUGGUGAGGAAAUGCUCCAUAUUUGAUGGUACCUUAUUAGAAAGCCACGGCUAACUACGUGCCAGCAGCUGC
Molecule: ribosomal RNA, 505 nt
Filed under: uncultured bacterium
Lineage: Bacteria
Description: bacterial SSU rRNA
Rfam family: Bacterial small subunit ribosomal RNA
Source: RNAcentral